AUGGGCUUGUUUGUAUCACUGUGGUACACGUUUGGUGGAGGAACCAGACUGGAGGUUGAUUUGGGUCAUGUUCCACCCAAGCUGACAGUGCUGUCCCCCUCCAUGCAUGAGGGGAAGGCCACACUCCUGUGUCUGGCCAACAACGGCUUCCCUUCAGGCUGGACUCUGUCCUGGAAGGUGGGCGGCAGCAGCAUCAGCAGCAGCUGGGAGGAGAGCAGGAGCCCCGGGGUGCUGCACAAGGACGGCCUCUACAGCUGGAGCAGCACCCUGAGGCUCCCUGCAGACCAGUGGGAGAAGCUGGACUCUGUGACCUGUGAGGCCACCCAGGACUCCCAGACUCCAGUCCCAGAGACUCUGUGGAGAAACCAGUGUUCCUAGUCACCACCAGACUGACUGGGAUUCUUUUACUCUGCUUUAAACUACUCUGACUUCACUUAGGAAUCUUUGUGACAUUUAUUGCAAUCCUCUUUCUGAAUGUUGUGAAUGUUUCUUUUUUUUUUUAAAUAAAGAUUUUUUCUUCAACUCA
Non-coding RNA from Oryzias latipes (Japanese medaka), 526 nucleotides. The record is from the annotation of a RefSeq genome assembly. NCBI's taxonomy places the organism in Eukaryota, Metazoa, Chordata, Actinopteri, Beloniformes, Adrianichthyidae.